This 923-nucleotide ribosomal RNA is filed under the name uncultured bacterium. Its description in RNAcentral is "bacterial SSU rRNA". It matches the Rfam family "Bacterial small subunit ribosomal RNA", at positions 8 to 916 of the family's 1533-position model. The record is from RNAcentral.
AGAGUUUGAUCCUGGCUCAGGACGAACGCUGGCGGCGUGCUUAACACAUGCAAGUGGAGCGACGAACCAGGGCUUGCCCUGGGGCAGAGCCGCGAACGGGUGAGUAACACGUGGGUAACCUACCCCGAUGACCGGGACAACCCGAGGAAACUCGGGCUAAUACCGGAUGUUCUCGUAUCUCUUAAGGGUUACGAGCAAAGAUAGCUUCGGCCUUCGCAUCGGGACGGGCCCGCGGCCCAUUAGCUUGUUGGUGGGGUAAUGGCCUACCAAGGCUGCGAUGGGUAGCUGGUCUGAGAGGAUGAUCAGCCACACUGGGACUGAGAUACGGCCCAGACUCCUAUGGGAGGCAGCAGUGGGGAAUCUUGCGCAAUGCGCGAAAGCGUGACGCAGCAACGCCGCGUGGGGGAAGAAGGCCUUCGGGUUGUAAACCCCUUUCAGUUGGGACGAAGCUUCGAGGGUUAAUAGCUCUCUGGAGUGACGGUACCUUCAGAAGAAGCCCCGGCUAACUACGUGCCAGUAGUUGCGGUAAUACGUAGGGGGCUAGCGUUGUCCGGAAUCAUUGGGCGUAAAGCGCGUGUAGGCGGUCCGGUAAGUCCGCUGUGAAAGUCGGGGGUUCAACCCUCGGAUGCCGGUGGAUACUGUCGGGCUUGAGUACGGAAGAGGCGAGUGGAAUUCCUGGUGUAGCGGUGAAAUGCGCAGAUAUCAGGAGGAAUACCAAUUGCGAAGGCAGCUCGCUGGGACGUUACUGACGCUGAGACGCGAGAGCGUGGGGAGUAAACAGGAUUAGAUACCCUGGUAGUCCACGCUGUAAACGAUGGGCACUAGGUGUGGGGGGUGUUGACUCCCUCCGUGCCGAAGUUAAUGUAUUAAGUGCCCCGCCUGGGGAGUACGGCCGCAAGGCUAAAACUCAAAGGAAUUGACGG